This 492-nucleotide ribosomal RNA is filed under the name uncultured bacterium. RNAcentral describes it as "partial 16S ribosomal RNA". It matches the Rfam family "Bacterial small subunit ribosomal RNA", at positions 29 to 507 of the family's 1533-position model. The record is from RNAcentral.
AGUGAACGCUGGCGAUAGGCCUAACACAUGCAAGUCGAACGGCAGCACAGUAAGAGCUUGCUCUUACGGGUGGCGAGUGGCGGACGGGUGAGGAAUACAUCGGAAUCUACUUUUUCGGGGGGGAUAACGUAGGGGAACUUACGCUAAUACCGCAUACGACCUACGGGUGAAAGCAGGGGAUCUUCGGACCUUGCGCGAAUGAAUGAGCCGAUGUCGGUUUAGCUAGUUGGCGGGGUAAAGGCCCACCAAGGCGACGAUCCGUAGCUGGUCUGAGAGGAUGGUCAGCCACACUGGAACUGAGACACGGUCCAGACUCCUACGGGAGGCAGCAGUGGGCAAUAUUGGACAAUGGGCGCAAGCCUGAUCCAGCCAUACCGCGUGUGUGAAGAAGGCCUUCGGGUUGUAAAGCCCUUUUGUUGGGAAAGAAAAGCAGCAGGUUAAUACCCCGCUGUUCUGACGGUACCCAAAGAAUAAGCACCGGCUAACUUCGUG